Molecule: ribosomal RNA, 460 nt
Filed under: uncultured bacterium
Lineage: Bacteria
Description: partial 16S ribosomal RNA
Rfam family: Bacterial small subunit ribosomal RNA
Source: RNAcentral
CCUACGGGUGGCAGCAGUGAGGAAUAUUGGUCAAUGGGCGCGAGCCUGAACCAGCCAAGUAGCGUGAAGGAUGACUGCCCUACGUGUUGUAAACUUCUUUUAUAAAGGAAUAAAGUGAGGCACGUGUGCCUUUUUGUGUGUACUUUAUGAAUAAGGAUCGGCUAACUCCGUGCCAGCAGCCGCGGUAAUACGGAGGAUCCGAGCGUUAUCCGGAUUUAUUGGGUUUAAAGGGAGCGUAGAUGGGUUGUUAAGUCAGUUGUGAAAGUUUGCGGCUCAACCGUAAAAUUGCAAUUGAUACUGGCAGGCUGGAGUACAGUAGAGGUAGGCGGAAUUCGUGGUGUAGCGGUGAAAUGCUUAGAUAGCACGAAGAACCCCGAUUGCGAAGGCAGCUUACUAAACUGACACUGACAUUGAUGCUCGAAAGUGUGGGUAUCAAACAGGAUUAGAUACCCGAGUAGUC